CUGGGGUCGCGCGGAGCUGCUCUCCGUCUUCCGGAAUGGUGGAGGCCUCGGCGUGCACGGCUUCUCGGCCUCUGACGCGCCCGGGCGCCGGACAGGGGCGCUCGGCCGCCCUGAGGGUGGUGAGACGCCUUUCGCAGCCGGGCCGGCCCCGAGGAUCCCGUGCCCUGAGUCCGUGGAGGGCGGACGGCAGCGGCCUGGCUUCGCCCACGUUGCUGGUGGACCGCAGGAGGCUCCGAAGCGGCUCCCAGGCUGCGUACGCACGCCAGGAAAUGGGAGAUGGAUGGGUUUGAGUGCAUUUGAUUUUAUUGGUCAUCGACUGCGUGUCAGGGAGAUACUCAUGUAAGCAGGGGAUUUUUUCGUGUGAAAGAGAAAGGCCUCACCAUAGGUAGGCAUGUAUGCCUACGGCAUCACAGUUGAGAUCAAGUCAACGUAGGAGUAAAGUGCCAUUUAAGGUUUAGAUCUUGAUAGUUGUUUCAAGACGCAGAACUCGGCGAAUGAGUGUCCUCAACUUUGCAGGUGAAAGCUGGAUGCUUGAAGCAAAGACUGCUGCCAGCUGAACACUGGGAGCACAAAGGUGACCUAAGGAUGUCCUUGAUGAAGAAUUCAAAAACAUCAUAGGAAAUCUUGACAAGAGUUGCUUGGAUCAUUUAAGACUCCCAGGAGCCUGAGGGGUACUAAAAUUACUGCUUUUGGACAGUCUAUAAAUACACACUUAAAACAGUAGGGCUACAAAUAAAUAUUUCAUUUUGCUUCG
Molecule: long non-coding RNA, 754 nt
Organism: Neomonachus schauinslandi (Hawaiian monk seal)
Lineage: Eukaryota; Metazoa; Chordata; Mammalia; Carnivora; Phocidae
Exons: 3
Source: RefSeq, a predicted model, not a curated record